Molecule: transfer RNA, 73 nt
Filed under: Ailuropoda melanoleuca (giant panda)
Lineage: Eukaryota; Metazoa; Chordata; Mammalia; Carnivora; Ursidae
Rfam family: tRNA
About the family: Transfer RNA (tRNA) molecules are approximately 80 nucleotides in length. Their secondary structure includes four short double-helical elements and three loops (D, anti-codon, and T loops). Further hydrogen bonds mediate the characteristic L-shaped molecular structure. tRNAs have two regions of fundamental functional importance: the anti-codon, which is responsible for specific mRNA codon recognition, and the 3' end, to which the tRNAs corresponding amino acid is attached (by aminoacyl-tRNA synthetases). tRNAs cope with the degeneracy of the genetic code in two manners: having more than one tRNA (with a specific anti-codon) for a particular amino acid; and 'wobble' base-pairing, i.e. permitting non-standard base-pairing at the 3rd anti-codon position.
Source: Rfam by way of RNAcentral
GCCUAGCUGGCUUAGUCAGUGGAGCGUGCGACUCUUGAUCUUAGGGUUGUGGAUUCAAGUCCCAUGGUGGGUG